AUUCCAUGAUGAGGGCAUUUCCAAAAUAGCUCUUUGUAUCGUUUCCAUGCCUCAUACAAGGACUUAUCAUCCAUUUGUUGGAAAGCAGUGAUCUCAUUGCUCAACAU
Molecule: small nucleolar RNA, 107 nt
Organism: Gossypium arboreum
Lineage: Eukaryota; Viridiplantae; Streptophyta; Magnoliopsida; Malvales; Malvaceae
Rfam family: Plant small nucleolar RNA R71
About the family: R71 is a member of the C/D box family of snoRNAs containing the C (UGAUGA) and D (CUGA) box motifs. Multiple nearly identical copies of this snoRNA have been identified in Arabidopsis, and it is thought to function as a 2'-O-ribose methylation guide for 18S ribosomal RNA.
Source: Rfam